UACAGAGGUCUCAAGCGUUGUUCGGAUUUAUUGGGCGUAAAGAGCGUGUAGGCGGUUUUACAGGUCCGCUGUGAAAACUCGAGGCUCAACCUCGAGCUGUCGGUGGAAACCGUAAGGCUAGAGUCCGGAAGAGGAGAGUGGAAUUCCUGGUGUAGCGGUGAAAUGCGCAGAUAUCAGGAAGAACACCCGUGGCGAAGGCGGCUCUCUGGGACGGUACUGACGCUGAGACGCGAAAGCGUGGGGAGCGAACAGG
RNAcentral lists this ribosomal RNA (253 nucleotides) under uncultured bacterium. RNAcentral describes it as "partial 16S ribosomal RNA". It matches the Rfam family "Bacterial small subunit ribosomal RNA", at positions 524 to 776 of the family's 1533-position model. The record is from RNAcentral.